This 290-nucleotide small RNA is filed under the name uncultured Gabonibacter sp. RNAcentral describes it as "5' ureB small RNA". The record is from RNAcentral. Lineage: Bacteria; Pseudomonadati; Bacteroidota; Bacteroidia; Bacteroidales; Porphyromonadaceae.
GGCUUGUUGCGGGGCUAUCAUGUGUACAUGGCCGUCAAUAGCGGCUGCGGUCAGAAUAAGAUGUUCACCUGAAAUCGCAUCCGUGGCAGCUCCUGUUAUUAACUCUGGAGUAACUCCCUGCAUGAUAUUGGGAUUUCCUGCUUUACCGAUUCCGGCUAUUUUACCGUCUUUGAUGCCGACAUCGGCUUUGAUAAUCCCCAAUUUCGGAUCGAUAAUCGUUACGUUUGUGAUAACGAGAUCGAGGGUGCCUCCCGCGGAAGUUAACGUGUUCGCUAAUCCCAUACCGUCCC